This 70-nucleotide transfer RNA is filed under the name Dipodomys ordii (Ord's kangaroo rat). It matches the Rfam family "tRNA". Rfam says of the family: Transfer RNA (tRNA) molecules are approximately 80 nucleotides in length. Their secondary structure includes four short double-helical elements and three loops (D, anti-codon, and T loops). Further hydrogen bonds mediate the characteristic L-shaped molecular structure. tRNAs have two regions of fundamental functional importance: the anti-codon, which is responsible for specific mRNA codon recognition, and the 3' end, to which the tRNAs corresponding amino acid is attached (by aminoacyl-tRNA synthetases). tRNAs cope with the degeneracy of the genetic code in two manners: having more than one tRNA (with a specific anti-codon) for a particular amino acid; and 'wobble' base-pairing, i.e. permitting non-standard base-pairing at the 3rd anti-codon position. The record is from Rfam by way of RNAcentral. Lineage: Eukaryota; Metazoa; Chordata; Mammalia; Rodentia; Heteromyidae.
AGGAAUAUGGCUUAGUAGUAGAGUGCUUGCCUAGUAUGCAUGAAGCCCUGGGUUCGAUUCCUCAGUACUA